GAUGGAUGUACCUCUCACAUACAC
This 24-nucleotide non-coding RNA is filed under the name Arabidopsis thaliana (thale cress). Lineage: Eukaryota; Viridiplantae; Streptophyta; Magnoliopsida; Brassicales; Brassicaceae. The record is from RNAcentral.